Molecule: long non-coding RNA, 465 nt
Filed under: Homo sapiens (human)
Lineage: Eukaryota; Metazoa; Chordata; Mammalia; Primates; Hominidae
Description: HSALNT0349718
Source: RNAcentral
UCACCUGGUUUCUGACGGGGUCCAGCCAGAGGGAGGCACUGGCAGAAGACCAAAGGGGAUCAGGAAAGGAGAGACCAGGGUGUUUCUCCUCCCCUCUGCCUUCAGAGGUGUCUCUGGCAGAGAAUUUGCAUUUCUUCCUUGGUUCUAGCUCCUGCUCCGGUUCCAGUUUCUUACAGGGUAAGCCUAAGCCUUGGGUUGCUGCGAUCCUGCCUCUUCCUGUUGUUCCGCCAGCUUACGGGUGAUAGUGGCUUCCUGCUAUUAUUCAUCUCUGAACUGAAAGACACUAUUUUCUAGUUGUCUUUCCAGCUCUUCACCUAGCAUUCACCCUCACAGGUUCUGGAACAAGCUCCAAGGCAGAGGGAUGAUGGCCUGGCUGAGCCGCACCGCGCAGGCGCUCUUCCCCAGCGCAGACGCCCUGCUCUGUCCUGACAGUCCCGCGUUGCCCUCAAUCUGAAGGUAUGGAUA